This 1153-nucleotide long non-coding RNA is filed under the name Heterocephalus glaber (naked mole-rat). Its description in RNAcentral is "lncRNA (ENSHGLG00000044991.1)". The record is from RNAcentral. Lineage: Eukaryota; Metazoa; Chordata; Mammalia; Rodentia; Bathyergidae.
ACCAGUGUGAGCACCCCCGGGCCAGGGGUUCAGGAGGUAAGCCUGAAUCAUCAGUGUCCCCGGGGCUUGGGCCCAGGACUAGGGCAGAGCAGGUGCCAGAAAAGCGUGCUGUGGACUGAAAGAAGCUGUACAAAUGCUUCCAACAGCCAACAAACUGCCCUGAGGUAUUUCUUCGCAUUGUACAUUCUCAGACCUAAGGAUAAGGAGUGUGAGGCUGCAACCAGCUCCUGAAGGCGCAGGACACAGCUGUACGGAGUUUGGGGGUCACUAGGGAAAAAAAAUCCCUCCCAGCUUUUGUAGGCCCAGUUUCUCCAUCUUGAAUUCAGAAUGUGUGCACACGCGAGCACGUGCGCGUGCACACAGGAGGAACAAGCAACGGAAAUUGGCUGGAACGGUCUGGACUGCUGGUGGCUUCGUAAUGGGCUGUAGCUGGGCCCUUCCUUUCCCUCUCCAGAUGUGCGUGUGUGAUGGGGAGAUGCCAGACUCCCGGGCAGGAGAGAGAGCAGCUCUUUUACACGGCUGCACGUCCCAGGAGUCCCUGGGGAGUCAAAGGUGGAGAGGUUCCUCGAAACCAGUGUUUCCAGCUCCAGUCACCACACUGGAAGCUCUGCGGGGGGCAGGAGCCAGUGAAAGUCUUUUAGGUCCUCAGGAUAUGAAACAGUGCUUGCCCUAGAAGAAUUAAUAACAAUCAGCAGUUCAAUUCUGUCAGUAACCCCUCAAGUUCACAGAUAAGAAAACUGAGGCCGUAGAAGUGGAGUCAUGACCCCAUGCUAGAGACUGAAGAUUCAGAGUGAGGAGCGCCAGCCUCUGCCCUCUGGGGUUGCACUAGCAUCCGAGACAUUCAAAUCACACAUCAAGGGCUCUUUCCAGCACAUGCCACACAGCCUUGGAAAACUGCUCUCCCUCCUGCUACGGGGUAUCCAUUUCCUUCGAAUGGACUGGUUCCUUGGCCACUCCAGACCGGGAGCGCCUUGAAGACAGAAUGUGGCCACUUCCUGUCUGGGUCAGACCUCGAUCCCUGCCUCUGACACGGCCCUGCAGGGAAGAUCGUGGUGAGGAUCCUGUGAACUCUACAUCCUUUACAGUGGGGUCCACCGUGAAUCAUCACAUUCACUAUGUGUCCUUGGGCAAGACAGGGCCCUCUCAGAUAAAC